RNAcentral lists this ribosomal RNA (253 nucleotides) under uncultured bacterium. Its description in RNAcentral is "partial 16S ribosomal RNA". It matches the Rfam family "Bacterial small subunit ribosomal RNA", at positions 524 to 776 of the family's 1533-position model. The record is from RNAcentral.
UACGGGGGGGGCAAGCGUUGUUCGGAAUUACUGGGCGUAAAGGGUUCGUAGGUGGCUUGCUAAGUCAGACGUGAAAUCCCUCGGCUUAACUGGGGAACUGCGUCUGAUACUGGCGAGCUUGAGUGCAGGAGAGGAACGCGGAAUUCCAGGUGUAGCGGUGAAAUGCGUAGAUAUCUGGAGGAACACCGGUGGCGAAGGCGGCGUUCUGGACUGCAACUGACACUGAUGAACGAAAGCCAGGGGAGCAAACGGG